Molecule: ribosomal RNA, 490 nt
Filed under: Flavobacterium sp.
Lineage: Bacteria; Pseudomonadati; Bacteroidota; Flavobacteriia; Flavobacteriales; Flavobacteriaceae
Description: bacterial SSU rRNA
Rfam family: Bacterial small subunit ribosomal RNA
Source: RNAcentral
GAUGAACGCUAGCGGCAGGCUUAACACAUGCAAGUCGAGGGGUAUAGGUUUUCGGACCUAGAGACCGGCGCACGGGUGCGUAACGCGUAUGCAAUCUACCUUUCACAGAGGGAUAGCCCAGAGAAAUUUGGAUUAAUACCUCAUAGUAUAAUGACUCGGCAUCGAGUUAUUAUUAAAGUCACAACGGUGAAAGAUGAGCAUGCGUCCCAUUAGUUAGUUGGUAAGGUAACGGCUUACCAAGACUACGAUGGGUAGGGGUCCUGAGAGGGAGAUCCCCCACACUGGUACUGAGACACGGACCAGACUCCUACGGGAGGCAGCAGUGAGGAAUAUUGGACAAUGGGCGCAAGCCUGAUCCAGCCAUGCCGCGUGCAGGAUGACGGUCCUAUGGAUUGUAAACUGCUUUUAUACGAGAAGAAACACUACUUCGUGAAGUAGCUUGACGGUAUCGUAAGAAUAAGGAUCGGCUAACUCCGUGCCAGCCGCCGCG